AGUGAACGCUGGCGGUAGGCCUAACACAUGCAAGUCGAACGGCAGCACAGAGGAGCUUGCUCCUUGGGUGGCGAGUGGCGGACGGGUGAGGAAUACAUCGGAAUCUACUCUGUCGUGGGGGAUAACGUAGGGAAACUUACGCUAAUACCGCAUACGACCUACGGGUGAAAGCAGGGGAUCUUCGGACCCUGCGCGAUUGAAUGAGCCGAUGUCGGAUUAGCUAGUUGGCGGGGUAAAGGCCCACCAGGGCGACGAUCCGUAGCUGGUCUGAGAGGAUGAUCAGCCACACUGGAACUGAGACACGGUCCAGACUCCUACGGGAGGCAGCAGUGGGGAAUAUUGGACAAUGGGCGCAAGCCUGAUCCAGCCAUACCGCGUGGGUGAAGAAGGCCUUCGGGUUGUAAAGCCCUUUUGUUGGGAAAGAAAUCCAUCUGGUUAAUACCCGGGUGGGAUGACGGUACCCAAAGAAUAAGCACCGGCUAACUUCGUGCCAGCCGCCGCAGUAA
RNAcentral lists this ribosomal RNA (506 nucleotides) under uncultured bacterium. Its description in RNAcentral is "partial 16S ribosomal RNA". It matches the Rfam family "Bacterial small subunit ribosomal RNA", at positions 29 to 523 of the family's 1533-position model. The record is from RNAcentral.